This 553-nucleotide long non-coding RNA is filed under the name Vitis vinifera (wine grape). RNAcentral's name for it is "long non-coding RNA (VVIN_LNC008282)". The record is from RNAcentral. Lineage: Eukaryota; Viridiplantae; Streptophyta; Magnoliopsida; Vitales; Vitaceae.
GACACACGCACCCAAAAAUACAUGUAUUGCCCUAAAACUGCCACAAAAUUCUGUCUACUAUUAAUGCUGUGGCUCCCUUCCAUCAAUUAUAGUUCCAGCACUUGCUCUUGAUCCAGUUAUGAGCUCAUCACCCUCGCAUUUUGCAUCCACCACUUCUCCUGCCAUUCCAAUUCAAUAUACAUUGCAUCAGUUUUCAUUUGAUGAAGCUACAAACAUGGACAUUUACGUCAAAUUAACUACAGAACAUCUGGACUGACUAGUUAUGUAUAGACUGAUCAGUUUACACUGAUAAUUUGAUAUUUUUUCAUACACGUGGGGUGGAAAGAGAGAGAGAGAGAGAGAGAGAGAGAGAGAGAGAGAGAGAGAGGGCCCCAACUUUGAGAUAGUGACUAUCACUCUCAAGUGACUUUUCCUAUUAAUGCGUUGGGAACACUUACAGCAAAAGAUAGAAGGCCAAGAUGGGACUUGAGGACCAAGACGUGUGCGGUUCAUAUUUCCAAAACUGUUACUUAUGACAUCUCUUUUCUACACUUGUAAGUUUGGGAUGAAUAGG